UGAGCCACACCUCCGAGGGUUUUCCAAGGUGGAUGAUUUAAGAUUGAAAUUCUGAAUAAUUUGACCGCACAAGAAAAGACUCUGACACCAAGUCUCACAUACUCUGCCUUCGCUGGAAGCAGGUCUCCUCUCUGGACUUCACCUGCCCUCAGAGAGCCCUCUAUUUAAAGCGGGCGACCCCAUCUUCUCCCUUAGAAAAAAACAGUUCUGGCCACAUUUGCUGACCCUCUGUUUCAGCAGAAAUUUAUUGGGUCCCUCCUAAGUUCUAGGUGCGGGGACAGAACUGUGAAUGAAAACAGAUACAAUCCCCGUCCUCCUGGAGUUUAUAAUUUGGGAGGAGGAAAUACACUCAUACAUGUAAGAUGACAAAGACUGCUGAAGGAGUGAUACACUGAUGAUGGGGACAGGCUCCCCUGAAGAAACGACCCUUGAAGAUGAAGUUUGCCUUACGACUGAAAAGGAAAAUCCCACCGGAUACACUCAGCCAUCCUCAUUCGAAGGUACGAGCUCGGACACACGUGUCUCAAGGUGGUCAUGACAGUUGGUUUCCAAAUGUGAAUUUCAAAUACCUUCAUCAAAUCAAGUCUUCUGCUCAUAAACCUGGUGUUUUUACCUUUGCCCUCACUUUAAAAUCACCCCACGAUACAGGGUCCCCACUCUUUUAGUUGGCCUUAGACAGAGUAAAUGGGAUGGAAUGUGACGGAUGCAUUGAAUUAGUUUCCCCUUCGAGUGUCCUCUAGGGCCUGCAUGCCUGUCCACUGUCCCAUUUUCUAUUUUCGCAGGAGAAGAAAGAGCCUUCUGUCCAUUUAAGAAGGCAAACUCCUGACUUUGCUCUUUGGUGUAGGGUCUAUAUUCCUGGACACCUAUCAGAACUUAAGGCCCUUUCAUUUUAUCAGAAGCUUGAUCUUCUUUAAGUAUCAUUAAGCUGAAUAUUUAGGGCAAGCAGACUUCUAGGCAUCAACUAACCCAGAAUUCUCAGAGCUACCCACUCUGCUUGCUCACAGAGCAAAGCCCUGAAAAAACAGCUAUUUUAUGGCCACCUAAGAGGCCUGAUAUGGGGGAGGUAUCACCCUUUUAGAACUGACCUCAGCAUGAAAGAUGACCGCUUGACAUUUGUCAGCUGUAUCUUCAGCUUUCUUUUGCCGCAUGGGAAGCGGUGUGUGUGUUGGGGGGGGG
Molecule: long non-coding RNA, 1176 nt
Filed under: Sus scrofa (pig)
Lineage: Eukaryota; Metazoa; Chordata; Mammalia; Artiodactyla; Suidae
Description: lncRNA (ENSSSCG00015028573.1)
Source: RNAcentral